Molecule: long non-coding RNA, 156 nt
Organism: Melanotaenia boesemani (Boeseman's rainbowfish)
Lineage: Eukaryota; Metazoa; Chordata; Actinopteri; Atheriniformes; Melanotaeniidae
Exons: 3
Source: RefSeq, a predicted model, not a curated record
GUGAUGGAGGAGGAGGGGUCAGGUGAUGGAGGAGGGGUCAGGUGGUGGAGGAGGGGUCAGGUGGAGGGGUGAGGUGAUGAAGGAGGGGUCAGGUGAUGGAGGAGGGGUCAGGUGGUGGAGGAGGGGUCAGGUGAUGGAGGAGGAGGGGUCAGGUGA